This 433-nucleotide ribosomal RNA is filed under the name uncultured bacterium. RNAcentral describes it as "partial 16S ribosomal RNA". It matches the Rfam family "Bacterial small subunit ribosomal RNA", at positions 29 to 507 of the family's 1533-position model. The record is from RNAcentral.
AACGAACGCUGGCGGCAUGCCUAACACAUGCAAGUCGAACGAGACCUUCGGGUCUAGUGGCGCACGUGUGCGUAACGCGUGGGAACCUGCCCUUAGGUUCGGAAUAACUCCCCGAAAGGGGUGCUAAUACCGGAUAAUGUCUUCGGACCAAAGAUUUAUCGCCUUUGGGUGGGCCCGCGUUGGAUUAGCUAGUUGGUAGGGUAAAAGCCUACCAAGGCGACGAUCCAUAGCUGGUCUGAGAGGAUGAUCAGCCACACUGGGACUGAGACACGGCCCAGACUCCUACGGGAGGCAGCAGUGGGGAAUAUUGGACAAUGGGCGAAAGCCUGAUCCAGCAAUGCCGCGUGAGUGAUGAAGGCCUUAGGGUUGUAAAGCUCUUUUACCCGGGAUGAUAAUGACAGUACCGGGAGAAUAAGCUCCGGCUAACUCCGUG